This 425-nucleotide ribosomal RNA is filed under the name uncultured bacterium. Its description in RNAcentral is "partial 16S ribosomal RNA". It matches the Rfam family "Bacterial small subunit ribosomal RNA", at positions 354 to 796 of the family's 1533-position model. The record is from RNAcentral.
GUGGGGAAUCUUAGACAAUGGGCGCAAGCCUGAUCUAGCCAUGCCGCGUGAGCGAUGAAGGCCUUAGGGUUGUAAAGCUCUUUCAGGGGGGAAGAUAAUGACGGUACCCCCAGAAGAAGCCCCGGCUAACUCCGUGCCAGCAGCCGCGGUAAUACGGAGGGGGCUAGCGUUGUUCGGAAUUACUGGGCGUAAAGCGCACGUAGGCGGACCAGAAAGUCAGGGGUGAAAUCCCGGGGCUCAACCCCGGAACUGCCUUUGAAACUCCUGGUCUUGAGGUCGAGAGAGGUGAGUGGAAUUCCGAGUGUAGAGGUGAAAUUCGUAGAUAUUCGGAGGAACACCAGUGGCGAAGGCGGCUCACUGGUCUGGUACUGACGCUGAGGUGCGAAAGCGUGGGGAGCAAACAGGAUUAGAAACCCGUGUAGUCC